GUGGAUUAGAUACCCGAGUAGUCCACGCCGUAAACGAUGAGAACUAGGUGUUGGGACGGUUAAUCGUCUCAUUGCCGCAGCUAACGCAUUAAGUUCUCCGCCUGGGGAGUACGGUCGCAAGAUUAAAACUCAAAGGAAUUGACGGGGGCCCGCACAAGCGGUGGAGUAUGUGGUUUAAUUCGACGCAACGCGAAGAACCUUACCUGGUCUUGACAUCCCGGGAAUCUGCUGGAAACAGUGGAGUGCCUCGCAAGAGGAGCCUGGUGACAGGUGCUGCACGGCCGUCGUCAACU
This 293-nucleotide ribosomal RNA is filed under the name uncultured bacterium. Its description in RNAcentral is "partial 16S ribosomal RNA". It matches the Rfam family "Bacterial small subunit ribosomal RNA", at positions 773 to 1060 of the family's 1533-position model. The record is from RNAcentral.